AGCGGCAGACGGGUGAGUAACGCGUGGGAACCUAUCCAUCGGUACGGAAUAGCUCCGGGAAACUGGAAUUAAUACCGUAUGCGCCCUACGGGGGAAAGAUUUAUCGCCGAUGGCCGGGCCCGCGUUGGAUUAGCUAGUAGGUUGGGUAAUGGCUGACCUAGGCGACGAUCCAUAGCUGGUCUGAGAGGAUGAUCAGCCACACUGGGACUGAGACACGGCCCAGACUCCUACGGGAGGCAGCAGUGGGGAAUAUUGGACAAUGGGGGCAACCCUGAUCCAGCCAUGCCGCGUGAGUGAUGACGGCCUUAGGGUUGUAAAGCUCUUUCAGCAGUGAAGAUAAUGACAUUAUCUGCAGAAGAAGCCCCGGCUAACUUCGUGCCAGCAGCCGCGGUAAUACGAAGGGGGCUAGCGUUGUUCGGAAUCACUGGGCGUAAAGCGCGCGUAGGCGGAUUGAUAAGUUAGGGGUGAAAUCCCGAGGCUCAACCUCGGAACUGCCUUUGAUACUGUCAGUCUUGAGUUCGAGAGAGGUGAGUGGAACUCCGAGUGUAG
Molecule: ribosomal RNA, 549 nt
Filed under: Pseudovibrio exalbescens
Lineage: Bacteria; Pseudomonadati; Pseudomonadota; Alphaproteobacteria; Hyphomicrobiales; Stappiaceae
Description: bacterial SSU rRNA
Rfam family: Bacterial small subunit ribosomal RNA
Source: RNAcentral